CAGCCGCCGCGGGAAUACAGAGGGUGCGAGCGUUAAUCGGAUUUACUGGGCGUAAAGCGUGCGUAGGCGGCUUUUUAAGUCGGAUGUGAAAUCCCCGAGCUUAACUUGGGAAUUGCAUUCGAUACUGGGAAGCUAGAGUAUGGGAGAGGAUGGUAGAAUUCCAGGUGUAGCGGUGAAAUGCGUAGAGAUCUGGAGGAAUACCGAUGGCGAAGGCAGCCAUCUGGCCUAAUACUGACGCUGAGGUACGAAAGCAUGGGGAGCAAACAGGAUUAGAUACCCCUGUAGUCCCUGUCUCUUAUAC
RNAcentral lists this ribosomal RNA (301 nucleotides) under uncultured bacterium. RNAcentral's name for it is "partial 16S ribosomal RNA". It matches the Rfam family "Bacterial small subunit ribosomal RNA", at positions 509 to 807 of the family's 1533-position model. The record is from RNAcentral.